ACUUUUCAUCGUCAGCCAAUUAGAAUAGUUGAAUUAUGUUGCUUCAGUGUGUUUGGACAAUGUCAUGGUCAAUUAUACACUCCUGUAUUUUAAGCCAGUGUGACGUACAUCCAGUGCUGUCAACUUGGC
Molecule: long non-coding RNA, 129 nt
Organism: Melanotaenia boesemani (Boeseman's rainbowfish)
Lineage: Eukaryota; Metazoa; Chordata; Actinopteri; Atheriniformes; Melanotaeniidae
Exons: 3
Source: RefSeq, a predicted model, not a curated record